AACGCAUAUUGCGCCCGAGGCUUCGGCCAAGGGCAUGUCUGCCUCAGCGUCGGGUUAAUACUCACCCAACCAAUCCCUGGUUGAGUGGAUCUGGCUUUCCCAGGCCUCGUGUCUGGGUUUGCUGAAGCAUAGAGGUUGAUGCAUGGACCCGCUAAGGGCCGCAACUGGGUAGGCAAUCUAUUUGCUAAUGCUUUAGUUGUUGGCUUGGGACUGUGCCUGUCGACCCGAAAUCAGGAAGAGCUUCGGCUCUAAACCCAUUUUCUCGACCUGAGCUCAGGCAAGAACACCCGCUGAACUUAA
This 300-nucleotide unclassified non-coding RNA is filed under the name uncultured soil eukaryote. RNAcentral's name for it is "sequence contains 5.8S rRNA gene, ITS2, 28S rRNA gene". The record is from RNAcentral.